AUUGAACGCUGGCGGCAGGCCUAACACAUGCAAGUCGAGCGGAUGAAGGGAGCUUGCUCCUGGAUUCAGCGGCGGACGGGUGAGUAAUGCCUAGGAAUCUGCCUGGUAGUGGGGGAUAACGUCCGGAAACGGGCGCUAAUACCGCAUACGUCCUGAGUGAGAAAGUGGGGGAUCUUCGGACCUCACGCUAUCAGAUGAGCCUAGGUCGGAUUAGCUAGUUGGUGGGGUAAAGGCCUACCAAGGCGACGAUCCGUAACUGGUCUGAGAGGAUGAUCAGUCACACUGGAACUGAGACACGGUCCAGACGCCUACGGGAGGCAGCAGUGGGGAAUAUUGGACAAUGGGCGAAAGCCUGAUCCAGCCAUGCCGCGUGUGUGAAGAAGGUCUUCGGAUUGUAAAGCACUUUAAGUUGGGAGGAAGGGCAGUAAGUUAAUACCUUGCUGUUUUGACGGUACCAACAGAAUAAGCACCGGCUAACUUCGUG
RNAcentral lists this ribosomal RNA (484 nucleotides) under uncultured bacterium. Its description in RNAcentral is "partial 16S ribosomal RNA". It matches the Rfam family "Bacterial small subunit ribosomal RNA", at positions 30 to 507 of the family's 1533-position model. The record is from RNAcentral.